AGCGAACGCUGGCGGCAGGCCUAACACAUGCAAGUCGAACGAACUCUUCGGAGUUAGUGGCGGACGGGUGAGUAACACGUGGGAACGUGCCUUUUGGUUCGGAAUAACUCAGGGAAACUUGUGCUAAUACCGAAUGUGCCCUUCGGGGGAAAGAUUUAUCGCCAUUAGAGCGGCCCGCGUCUGAUUAGCUAGUUGGUGAGGUAACGGCUCACCAAGGCGACGAUCAGUAGCUGGUCUGAGAGGAUGACCAGCCACACUGGGACUGAGACACGGACCAGACUCCUACGGGAGGGAGCAGUGGGGAAUCUUGCGCAAUGGGCGAAAGGCUGACGCAGCCAAGCCGCGUGAAUGAUGAAGGUCUGAGGAUUGUAAAGUUCUUUCAUCGGAGACGAUAAUGACGGUACCCGGAGAAGAAGCCCCGGCUAACUUCGUG
Molecule: ribosomal RNA, 433 nt
Filed under: uncultured bacterium
Lineage: Bacteria
Description: partial 16S ribosomal RNA
Rfam family: Bacterial small subunit ribosomal RNA
Source: RNAcentral